Molecule: ribosomal RNA, 408 nt
Filed under: uncultured fungus
Lineage: Eukaryota; Fungi
Description: SSU rRNA
Rfam family: Eukaryotic small subunit ribosomal RNA
Source: RNAcentral
GUAGUCAUAUGCUUGUCUCAAAGAUUAAGCCAUGCAUGUCUAAGUAUAAGCAAUUAUACCGCGAAACUGCGAAUGGCUCAUUAUAUAAGUUAUCGUUUAUUUGAUAGUACCUUACUACAUGGAUACCUGUGGUAAUUCUAGAGCUAAUACAUGCUAAAAACCCCGACUUCAGGAAGGGGUGUAUUUAUUAGAUUAAAAACCAAUGCCCCUCGGGGCUCUCUGGUGAAUCAUGAUAACUAGUCGAAUCGACAGGCCUUGUGCCGGCGAUGGCUCAUUCAAAUUUCUUCCCUAUCAACUUUCGAUGUUUGGGUAUUGUCCAAACAUGGUGGCAACGGGUAACGGGGAAUUAGGGUUCGAUUCCGGAGAGGGAGCCUGAGAAACGGCUACCACAUCCAAGGAAGGCAGCAG